RNAcentral lists this ribosomal RNA (427 nucleotides) under uncultured Sphingobacteriales bacterium. RNAcentral's name for it is "bacterial SSU rRNA". It matches the Rfam family "Bacterial small subunit ribosomal RNA", at positions 955 to 1382 of the family's 1533-position model. Lineage: Bacteria; Pseudomonadati; Bacteroidota; Sphingobacteriia; Sphingobacteriales. The record is from RNAcentral.
UGAUACGCGAGGAACCGUUACCUGGGCUCAAAUGUAUGUUGUACGUAUUACUGAAAGGGAUACUUCUUCGGACAAUAUACAAGGUGCUGCAUGGUUGUCGUCAGCUCGUGCCGUGAGGUGUCGGGUUAAGUCCCAUAACGAGCGCAACCCUAUCAUUAGUUGCCAUCAGGUCAAGCUGGGGACUCUAAUGAAACUGCCUACGCAAGUAGUGAGGAAGGUGGGGAUGACGUCAAAUCAGCACGGCCCUUACGUCCAGGGCUACACACGUGCUACAAUGGCCGGUACAAAGGGCAGCUACCUGGUGACAGGAUGCUAAUCUCAAAAGCCGGUCUCAGUUCGGAUCGGAGUCUGCAACCCGACUCCGUGAAGCUGGAAUCGCUAGUAAUCGCGCAUCAGCCAUGGCGCGGUGAAUACGUUCCCGGGCCUU